RNAcentral lists this transfer RNA (75 nucleotides) under Candidatus Onthovivens merdipullorum. Its description in RNAcentral is "tRNA-Gln". It matches the Rfam family "tRNA". Rfam says of the family: Transfer RNA (tRNA) molecules are approximately 80 nucleotides in length. Their secondary structure includes four short double-helical elements and three loops (D, anti-codon, and T loops). Lineage: Bacteria; Bacillati; Bacillota; Bacilli; Caryophanales. The record is from RNAcentral.
UGGGAUGUAGCCAAGUGGUAAGGCAACAGACUUUGACUCUGUCAUGCGCUGGUUCGAGUCCAGCCAUCCCAGCCA